AGUUUGAUCCUGGCUCAGGACGAACGCUGGCGGCGUGCUUAACACAUGCAAGUCGAACGGAAAGGCCUCUUCGGAGGUACUCGAGUGGCGAACGGGUGAGUAACACGUGGGCAAUCUGCCCUGCACUUCGGGAUAAGCCUGGGAAACUGGGUCUAAUACCGGAUAGGACCUUUAGACGCAUGUCUUUUGGUGGAAAGCUUUUGCGGUGUGGGAUGGGCCCGCGGCCUAUCAGCUUGUUGGUGGGGUGAUGGCCCACCAAGGCGACGACGGGUAGCCGGCCUGAGAGGGUGUCCGGCCACACUGGGACUGAGAUACGGCCCAGACUCCUACGGGAGGCAGCAGUGGGGAAUAUUGCACAAUGGGCGCAAGCCUGAUGCAGCGACGCCGCGUGGGGGAUGACGGCCUUCGGGUUGUAAACCUCUUUCACCAUCGACGAAGGUCCGGGUUUUCUCGGAUUGACGGUAGGUGGAGAAGAAGCACCGGCCAACUACGUGCCAGCAGCCGCGGUAAUAC
Molecule: ribosomal RNA, 513 nt
Filed under: Mycobacterium avium complex sp.
Lineage: Bacteria; Bacillati; Actinomycetota; Actinomycetes; Mycobacteriales; Mycobacteriaceae
Description: bacterial SSU rRNA
Rfam family: Bacterial small subunit ribosomal RNA
Source: RNAcentral